CUAUGUUGAUCGGACGGUUGUUGUUUAACAGAAGUAUGUAGGGUGUUCUUAGAGCAUCUUUACUGGCAGUUACUCUCAUGGUUACUCAACCAUUUGGGGCCAAAAAACUGAAUAAAAAAUCUAUUUACGAUCCAUUUAGGAGAGAAUCGAUUCCCUGGGAAGCAUCUGAAGCAACACCAUGAGUAACCGUACGUGGCCUAUUUUCAUUCGUAAAUACAUAAAUAUUAAAUGAAUUUUUUUUUUCCAUUUUCUUUUUCUUUCUUCCCCAUUCUCUCUCUUCUCUCUCGAUACAAACGGAGUUCUCACGACCAACGACGGCGGAAGGUUGUUGGAUUAACCCUAAGAUUUGACGCUUCGGUUCUCACCACCAACGACGGCGGAGAUUUUUUAUGCUGCGACAACGACGGCAGCUCGAUCCCGGAGGUCUCCGUAUCAAAUCCCCGCCACAACACAACCGCCUCCGUCGAUGGUGACUGAGACGGAGAAGGUUACAGUCGAGCGUCACUGUGCUGCGAAAGGUAAAGGCUUGAAUUGCUUGGUUCCGCCUCCUAAAGGUUACCAUCAGCUGGUUCCAUGGCCUAAAAGCCGUGACGAGGUAACUCCUUUGUUUGCAAUCUCUUGUUAGAGUUUAUUGGCUAACUAAAGCUUAAUAGCAAAGCUCAAGUGGAUUAAGCUUAGAAUCAGAAUGUAAUAAGCCUAAGUAGAUUGGAUUAAGCUCAAUAUUCUCUUGUAUUGCAUUUUGGUUGGAAAAUUCUGAUCUUGGGAUUAGCUUAAGUAGAUUAAGUGAUGUCGAAUUUGGAUUUGCAGAUUUCUUAAAAUAGCUACAAUUACAAGUAUCUUCAGUUAGAGGUGCCAAGGUUGUUACUGAUCCAAGUAAUGGGCGAUCAAAAGGUUAUGGAUUUGUUAAAUUUGCAGAGGAAAGUGAAAGGAACCGGGCCAUGGCUGAAAAUGAAAUGAAUGGUUUGUAUUGCUCAACAAGGCGUAUUAUCAGUAUUGUUAAGAACUUAGCCAACGUUGAUAUCUUCUUCUGUGUUUGCCUUUGACUGGUUUUGUAAAAUAUAUUGGACCGGAGUCGAGAGCAUGAAGAGUGCCACUAUAUUAUGUAAGUGAUAUGACUAGUACCUGAAGAAAGAAGAAAGAGGUUCAAGCGGAAAGUUAUGUUGAUCGUCAAUGUCGCUUCAAGGUUCUUUCUUCAUUGUCUUGAUUGCCAAGGUGGGACAAUCGAACUUCAGCAUUAACACCGGAGAAAGAGAUAUUCUACCUAGUGGCGAUCCUAACAUCGGCAGUGAAUGUAGUAACAUUAGUGAAUGUUUGUAUUGCUCAACAAGGUCAUGUGAAUGUAGUAACAUUAGUGAUAAUCAAAUAUGACAAAAGUUGGUAUCCUUUACAUUGUAGAUAUUUGUUUUGUAGUUUAGGUUGAAAUUUGUAGGGUUUUUUUUGUA
Molecule: non-coding RNA, 1442 nt
Organism: Camelina sativa (false flax)
Lineage: Eukaryota; Viridiplantae; Streptophyta; Magnoliopsida; Brassicales; Brassicaceae
Source: RefSeq, a predicted model, not a curated record